Molecule: ribosomal RNA, 284 nt
Filed under: Prevotellamassilia timonensis
Lineage: Bacteria; Pseudomonadati; Bacteroidota; Bacteroidia; Bacteroidales; Prevotellaceae
Description: partial 16S ribosomal RNA
Rfam family: Bacterial small subunit ribosomal RNA
Source: RNAcentral
UAUGGUCAUUGUGGGAAAGCAGCCGCGGUAAUACGGAAGGUCCAGGCGUUAUCCGGAUUUAUUGGGUUUAAAGGGAGCGCAGGCGGACCUUUAAGUCAGCUGUGAAAUACGGCGGCUCAACCGUCGAACUGCAGUUGAUACUGGAGGUCUUGAGUGCACACAGGGAUACUGGAAUUCAUGGUGUAGCGGUGAAAUGCUCAGAUAUCAUGAAGAACUCCGAUCGCGAAGGCAGGUAUCCGGGGUGCAACUGACGCUGAGGCUCGAAAGUGCGGGUAUCAAACAGG